RNAcentral lists this ribosomal RNA (490 nucleotides) under uncultured bacterium. RNAcentral's name for it is "partial 16S ribosomal RNA". It matches the Rfam family "Bacterial small subunit ribosomal RNA", at positions 30 to 507 of the family's 1533-position model. The record is from RNAcentral.
AUUGAACGCUGGCGGCAGGCCUAACACAUGCAAGUCGAACGGUAACAGGAAGCAGCUUGCUGCUUCGCUGACGAGUGGCGGACGGGUGAGUAAUGUCUGGCAAACUUCCUGAUGGAGGGGGAUAACUACUGGAAACGGUAGCUAAUACCGCAUAACGUCGCAAGACCAAAGAGGGGGACCUUAGGGCCUCUUGCCAUCGGCUGUGCCCAGAUGGGAUUAGCUAGUAGGUGGGGUAACGGCUCACCUAGGCGACGAUCCCUAGCUGGUCUGAGAGGAUGACCAGCGACACGGGAAGGGAGAAACGGUCCAGACACCUACGGGAGGCAGCAGUGGGGAAUAUUGCACAAUGGGCGAAAGCAUGAUGCAGCAAUGCCGCGUGUAUGAAGAAGGCCUUCGGGUUGUAAAGUACUUUCAGCGGGGAGGAAGGGAGUAAAGUUAAUACCUUUGCUCAUUGACGUUACCCGCAGAAGAAGCACCGGCUAACUCCGUG